CUUGGCAGUGGGUGUAGGCCAAGGCCGGACUGUCUCCUGAACUCACCGUUUAACAGAUCCGGAGAUUGGAGGGAUGAGAGAGUGGGCAGAAACGGUUAAGGUAGGAGAGGUUGGGGCAGAGCUGGUUAAGGUAGGAGAGGUUGGGGCAGAGCUGGUUAAGGUAGGAGAGGUUGGGGCAGAGCUGGUUAAGGUAGGAGAGGUUGGGGCAGAGCUGGUUAAGGUAGGAGAGGUUGGGGCAGAGCUGGUUAACGUAGGAGAGGUUGGGGCAGAGCUGGUUAAGGUAGGAGAGGUUGGGGCAGGGCUGGUUUGUGAUGGCUGGGUGGAAUGGGUUGUGAUUACCGGUAAUGGGAAUGGGGAAAAUAAGAAAUCAAAGUGUGGUGCAGUAGGUGAUAUUAAUGUGAAGGGACUGGACAUGGAGGCUGAUGGUGUUCCCAGAGGAAGGGUGGCUGAGGCACAAAUCCUGUAUGUCCAGGAUUUGUUGGAGCAGAUUGACUUGGGAGCCCUGUGGUGUCCAGCCAGAUGUGAUGGGUUGGGGUGUAGAGCCAGAGUGGAUGGAGUGAGAUGGUGCAGCACAGGAGGUGAUGGAUUGGGGUGGCACUGUUAGUGCUGGCCAAAGUGUUGAUGGUGAGGGUAGCUCCUCCAUGGGGGUAAAGCUGACUCCACAGUUCCCUCUGCUGCUGGUGGGGGACCAGAGUUGGAGAUUUCUCCCUGAGAG
Long non-coding RNA from Oncorhynchus tshawytscha (Chinook salmon), 715 nucleotides. The record is from Ensembl. Lineage: Eukaryota; Metazoa; Chordata; Actinopteri; Salmoniformes; Salmonidae.